Molecule: ribosomal RNA, 440 nt
Filed under: uncultured bacterium
Lineage: Bacteria
Description: partial 16S ribosomal RNA
Rfam family: Bacterial small subunit ribosomal RNA
Source: RNAcentral
CCUACGGGUGGCAGCAGUGGGGGAUAUUGCACAAUGGGCGCAAGCCUGAUGCAGCGACGCCGCGUGAGUGAAGAAGUUUUUCGGUUUGUAAAGCUCUGUCUGCAGGGGAGAAAAUGACGGUACCUGACUAAGAAGCUCCGGCUAACUACGUGCCAGCAGCCGCGGUAAUACGUAUGGAGCAAGCGUUAUCCGGAUUUACUGGGUGUAAAGGGAGCGUCGGCGGGCAUGUAAGUCAGAGGUGAAAAUUUGGGGGUUAACCCCAAACGUGCAUUGGAAAAUGCAGGGCUUGAGUGACGGAGAGGUAGGCGGAAUGCCUGGUGUAGCGGUGAAAUGCGGAGAUAUUAGGAAGAACACCAGUGGCGAAGGCGGCCUGCGGGACUUUAACUGACGCUGAGGCUCGAAAGCGUGGGGAGCAAACAGGAUUAGAUACCCUGGUAGUC